RNAcentral lists this long non-coding RNA (659 nucleotides) under Ananas comosus (pineapple). RNAcentral describes it as "long non-coding RNA (ACOM_LNC029818)". Lineage: Eukaryota; Viridiplantae; Streptophyta; Magnoliopsida; Poales; Bromeliaceae. The record is from RNAcentral.
CUCUCUCUUUAGUCAAACUUUUACUUUUAUUAUUAUUAUUUAUUUAUUUAAUAAUACUAUACAUCCACAAUUAUACAAAACAAUAUCAUACUCUACAGUAAGAUUAAUGAAUAAGACAUUUUCUCAUAUAUUCUGUAUCAAAUCUUGCGUAUCGAGUAGGGAUGUCAACGGGUCGGAUUUGGAUUGGGUUUUAUAAAUUUGAAUUCAAAUCCGAAAAUUAAAUUAAAAUUCGAAUCUGGAUUCGAAUCCAGUGGAUUUUAAAAGUCCAUACUCAUAUCCGUCCCUGACCAAAAAUCCGAAAUCCGAACUAGGACCCAAAUCCGGCGAAGAUUGAAUGGAUAAAAAAGUAUUAAAUAUUUUAUAUAUUAUAUAAAUAAAUAAAAAUAAAUUAUAUAUAUAAUUUUUUCGUGUUCGGGUUCAGAUUCGAAUUGGGUAAAUACAAAAUUCAUACCCGUAUUCAUAUCCAUCGAGUUUUUAUUUUUUAUAUCUAUAAUCGAAUCCAUAUCUGUUUAGCUCGGAUAAACCCACUCUGUUCAGGUUCGGAUUCGGAUAAUAUUUCGGAUAUCCAUACCCAUUGACGUCCCUAAUAUCGAGCUCUGCGAGAUAGUUAUAAGUGUAAAUAAAAGACCAAUAUAAUAACUAUAUACUUAAAAAAUAUU